CCCACCAUUCACAUUAUCGAUGCUUUCUCCCCUACAAUGACACCAACAACAUAUAUUUGUCCGCCCUUCCGCCAAUAUUCCUCGCUCGAACAAUACAUCUUUUAGUGGCACUGCAUCAUUACAAACUAGCCAUAAGAACACCUGCAGUACUUUAGAUGAUAUAGAUCCCUUUAAUCCAUGCUUUGUAUCCUUUCCUAACCUACAUAAUAAUACAUCUAAUAUGGCAAUAUUGUCAUUAUAGGAGUAACGGAGGUGAAGCAUUU
This 263-nucleotide long non-coding RNA is filed under the name Panax ginseng (ginseng). RNAcentral's name for it is "long non-coding RNA (PGIN_LNC005373)". The record is from RNAcentral. Lineage: Eukaryota; Viridiplantae; Streptophyta; Magnoliopsida; Apiales; Araliaceae.